AGAAAACCUAAUCUCAUGGUUGUAGGUCCCUUUUUUAUCCUUCUUCUUCUUCCAACAUGGCAUUCCUGGGAGCUUGAACAAGACUACACAAGCUGAACUACAUACUUCAUCAUUAAUUAAAGACUACUAUUAAGAUGAAAACAGUGGUAUUGCACUGAUGAUGCUGAGUGGUGCUUACACAGAGUCAAGGACUUUUCUGACUCUCAUGCUGCCCUGCCUGCAACGAGGCUAGGAAUGCAUGAAAAGAGGAGGUGGGGCACGGACAGGACAACUGAGCCAAACUAACCAAAGGAAUAUUCCUUACCAUAUGAUGACAUGUACAAGAGUUCACCAUCAGGUCCCAAGGAAAUAGGCAUGAGAGGACUGGGUGCCAGGUGCUGGAGAAUGGGGUCUCAGCAUCAGCUCCUGAACAACCUGUGGAACAGCACAUAUGCUGUCUCAACUCAGUCUGGAAGCAUUCCACCUACCACAUCCCCACAGUCUUCUUAAGAGGAAGUGAACUGAAUGCUUCCGCCUGUAAUAAUAAAAUACCAGAGAGCAAUCCAUGUCCUGCCCUCCUUCAUGCAGAACCAACGAGCAUGUAUUUAUACUCUUUACUAAGUAGCAUCAGAUUUAUCAUUUUAGUUCCGAUAGUCUAAAGCAGAGCCAGAAAGUUGUGUCAACAGUUAAGCUUUGUGUGUGAUUAGAAGGUGCAGUGCUGUUCUGAAUUAUACUCUGUGACAUAUAAUUUUUCUCAAGUAUUGUGUAGAGAGAACAAGCAACCAUUCUAGGUUGGUGGAAGAAACUCCAUGCCUUCUAAGAUACUGCAUCUCCCUGUCGGGAAAAAAAAGGAAAAAAACCAAACCAAAACACAACAUUAUGUUUAUUUUUCUUUUUUAAAAUCACCUCAACCUUAAAACUUGCUAUGGGUACAAAUUAUUGAGGAAAGAAGAAGACAAUUCAUAAACUCCUUUUAAAAUUCUAAAAAUACCCUGUGAAGUGUGAAAAGUCACUGAUGUUACAAAGUUCAGUGAUCUGUAAUAACUAUUAUUGUUUCCAUUGACCCAUAGUAAUAAUUGACCUGGACUGGAAAUAGCAGCACUCAAUAAUGCAUUUCCAAUUUUCUGAAUGUUCCAUUCUCCCAAGACACACACAAAAACAUCAGUUUACAUUAGAUUGUCUAGCUUUUAGUCUGGUUAUGCUUUUGAUGACAGUAGAACUGUAAUCAAAAUACUAGAGGGUAAUGAAUAUAAUACCAAAUAAUUAAAUACAAAUCAAUAGACAACUGUAUACAGCAUAAAAAAGAUAGAUUUUUCUUUCAAAAAAAUAAUACAAAUAUCAAUAUUCAUCAUGUUAGAAGAAACAAUUGUGGUUUUGUUAUGUGCUACACUGAAAGGUAAGAGAAGGAUCAUUUUGGUUGAAAAAUGCCUUCGAGAUCAAAUUCAACUAUUCACUACACUUCAAGUUCACUGCUAAACCAUCUCUGCAUACCCCACAUACAUAUGUUUCUUAAGUGCCUCCAAGGGUGGUGAUUCCAUCGCCCAACUGGGCAGCCUGUUCCAAUGCCAAACCAUUCCUUAUGUGAAUAAAUUCUU
Long non-coding RNA from Gallus gallus (chicken), 1574 nucleotides. Lineage: Eukaryota; Metazoa; Chordata; Aves; Galliformes; Phasianidae. The record is from Ensembl.